GACGAACGCUGGCGGCGUGCUUAACACAUGCAAGUCGAACGGAAAGGCCUUUUCGGAGGUACUCGAGUGGCGAACGGGUGAGUAACACGUGGGUGAUCUGCCCUGCACUCUGGGAUAAGCCUGGGAAACUGGGUCUAAUACCGGAUAGGACCGCACUUUAGUGUGUGUGGUGGAAAGUUUUUUCGGUGUAGGAUGAGCCCGCGGCCUAUCAGCUUGUUGGUGGGGUAAUGGCCUACCAAGGCGGCGACGGGUAGCCGGACUGAGAGGUUGGUCGGCCACAUUGGGACUGAGAUACGGCCCAGACUCCUACGGGAGGCAGCAGUGGGGAAUAUUGCACAAUGGGCGCAAGCCUGAUGCAGCGACGCCGCGUGGGGGAUGACGGCCUUCGGGUUGUAAACUCCUUUCGCCAGGGACGAAGCGUUUUGUGACGGUACCUGGAGAAGAAGCACCGGCUAACUACGUA
This 463-nucleotide ribosomal RNA is filed under the name uncultured bacterium. RNAcentral describes it as "partial 16S ribosomal RNA". It matches the Rfam family "Bacterial small subunit ribosomal RNA", at positions 28 to 507 of the family's 1533-position model. The record is from RNAcentral.